This 481-nucleotide ribosomal RNA is filed under the name uncultured bacterium. Its description in RNAcentral is "partial 16S ribosomal RNA". It matches the Rfam family "Bacterial small subunit ribosomal RNA", at positions 28 to 507 of the family's 1533-position model. The record is from RNAcentral.
GACGAACGUUGGCGGCGUGCUUAAUACAUGCAAGUCAACUGAAGCAGUGGUAGCAAUCUCGCUGUGGAGGUGGCGCACGGGUGAGUAACACGUAGGUAAUCUGCCUUCAGGUCUGGCAUAACUCCGGGAAACCGGGGCUAAUAGCAGAUGAUGCAGCGGCUCGACAUCGAGACAGUUGUUAAAGCUAUGGCGCCUGAAGAUGAGCCUGCGUCUGAUUAGCUAGUUGGCGGGGUAACGGCCCACCAAGGCAACGAUCAGUAGCUGGUCUGAGAGGAUGAUCAGCCACACUGGAACUGAGACACGGUCCAGACUCCUACGGGAGGCAGCAGUAAGGAAUAUUGCUCAAUCGGAGAAAUCCUGAAGCAGCAACGCCGCGUGAGGGACGAAGGGCUUUUGCUUGUAAACCUCUGUAGUGAGAGAAAAAAAUCCCAAUCUUUGGGACAUGAUGGUAUCUCAAAAGUAAGCCCCGGCUAACUACGUG